ACCCAAAUUUUUAUCCAGGUUGACCUCGGAUCAGGUAGGGAUACCCGCUGAACUUA
Molecule: ribosomal RNA, 56 nt
Filed under: Penicillium chrysogenum
Lineage: Eukaryota; Fungi; Ascomycota; Eurotiomycetes; Eurotiales; Aspergillaceae
Description: partial 28S ribosomal RNA
Source: RNAcentral